Molecule: ribosomal RNA, 407 nt
Filed under: uncultured bacterium
Lineage: Bacteria
Description: partial 16S ribosomal RNA
Rfam family: Bacterial small subunit ribosomal RNA
Source: RNAcentral
AUUGAACGCUGGCGGCAGGCCUAACACAUGCAAGUCGAGCGGAGCGGCGGACGGGUGAGUAAUGCCUAGGAAUCUGCCUGGUAGUGGGGGAUAACGUCCGGAAACGGGCGCUAAUACCGCAUACUAUCAGAUGAGCCUAGGGCGGAUUAGCUAGUUGGUGGGGUAAAGGCCUACCAAGGCGACGAUCCCUAACUGGUCUGAGAGGAUGAUCAGUCACACUGGAAAUGAGAAAAGGUUCAGGAUCCUACGGGAGGCAGCAGUGGGGAAAAUUGGGCAAUGGGCGAAAGCCUUAUUCCGCCAUGCCGCGUGUGUUGAGAAGGGUCUCGGAUUGUAAAGGACUUUAAGUUGGGAGGCGUUACCAACAGAAUAAGCACCGGCUAACCUCGUGCCAGCAGCCGGGGUAAUUC